This is a long non-coding RNA of Sceloporus undulatus (fence lizard), 1178 nucleotides long. RefSeq lists it as uncharacterized. Lineage: Eukaryota; Metazoa; Chordata; Lepidosauria; Squamata; Phrynosomatidae. The record is from RefSeq and is a predicted model, not a curated record. The transcript is spliced from 3 exons.
CUUGCAAGGGAACCUGGAGGCUGCUGCGCUGGAAUUCCUUCUUGAGAAAGAGAUGUUCCACCAUCUCUUGCAGGCUCCGCUCCACGUUCUCACCUGCAAAGGAAGAUGCAAAAGAAAGCCCCAGUCAAUCUAUGGAAAGAAGGAGACAAGGGUUUCCAGCUCCUGGACCAUCUUCUCCAGUUGCAGGGCAAGGCAGAGGAAUCUCAGGCCCUCAUCUUGUGUGUGGGAUCUGAAGUUUUGUGAAGUACCAGCACUCUUGGGCAGAGAAGGCUAAAGACCCUGUAAAACUAGAAAUCCCAGGAUUCCAUAGGAUGGAGCUACAGCACUUAAAGUGGUGUCAAACGGCAUUGUUUCUACAAUACAGAUGCACCCUUGAUGUUGGGUCCUUCACCUGUCUUGGCCGACACUUUGAAUCUCUCCGAUGCGCAAUGCUCCACUGCAAACUUCUCGGCUUUGUCUUCAGAGACGCGGUUUUCCAGGUCGCUCUUAUUACCCAAAAGGAAGAUAUCAGCUACGGAGAAGAGAGAAAGGAUAGCAAGCUGUGAGAACAAGACUUAAUCUGAAGUAAGGUGCAGAGAAAGUGGACAGAGAAUGUAUCAGAACCCAAAAGGAUAAUCCAAUAAAGUUGAAUUCCUGGGAUUUCUAGUUUGUUGUGGUGCCAGAGCUCUCUGACAGCGAAUGCUAAAUAGCUCACACAAAUAUGAAUCCCAGAAUUUAACUGUCAUGGCAGUUAAAGAAGUGUCACACUGCAUUAAUUCUGGAGUGUAGACAUAGCCUAGGAAGUAUGUUAUAAAGCUUUCAAAACAGCAAAUCAAUUUACAAUUUGGAAUAUUUUCCAAGACAGUUGUGUAAAGUAAAUAACAGUGAUUGGGAAGUAAAUGAAUGUUUUUCAAGUUGUUUAUUAUAAUGAUUUUAAUCUGUUAAUAAAAUCUAAGGAGCCAUGAUUUCUCUGCAAAUUUACUGAGAAACUAUCCCCUUGAUAUUUCUUCAAAUAUAUUACUUGCUAAAGUUAAGAUGACUAAAGAUGGGUUUCUCUGAUGAAGCACUGAAUGCCUGUAAGGCGUCCAUUCUCAUGUCAAAGUUGAGGAUGAAUUUUCUCAUACGGUUGUAGAUGCACCAGAGUCCUGCAUUGUACACAUUGUUGUUAUUGUGUGCCUUCAAGUUGUUUCUGGACUUAU